RNAcentral lists this ribosomal RNA (262 nucleotides) under uncultured bacterium. Its description in RNAcentral is "partial 16S ribosomal RNA". It matches the Rfam family "Bacterial small subunit ribosomal RNA", at positions 793 to 1055 of the family's 1533-position model. The record is from RNAcentral.
GUCCACGCCGUAAACGAUGGUUACUGGCCCUAUGCAAUAUAUCGUAUGGGGCUGAGCGAAAGCAUUAAGUAACCCACCUGGGGAGUACGGCCGCAAGGCUGAAACUCAAAGGAAUUGACGGGGGGCCCCGCACAAGCGGAGGAACAUGUGGUUUAAUUCGAUGAUACGCGAGUAACCUUACCCGGGCUUGAAAUGCGCAGGACGUAGGUAGAGAUAUCUAUUCACUUUUAGUGUCUGCGUGUAGGUGCUGCAUGGUUGUCGU